Molecule: long non-coding RNA, 5078 nt
Organism: Aotus nancymaae (Ma's night monkey)
Lineage: Eukaryota; Metazoa; Chordata; Mammalia; Primates; Aotidae
Source: Ensembl
AUGGGGACAGGGCGCGGAGCCGCUCAGCCGUGCAGUGUAGCCAUCCCCCGUGGCGUGGGUGUUGGCCCUGCUCCCUGGGUUCCCACACAGUUACUUGCAGAUUUCUUCUUGCAUUUGGACUCCACUCACCAUCACUCCGUGGAUAUUAUCUGGGUGCCUCCCCUGCAAGCUCAGAUCACCCAGGGAGACCAGUCCCCUUCCAUCUGUGAGGACAACAGUGUGGCGAGAUUCAGUUGCCCCCAGGCUUGCAUUAUGCCAGGUGGAACCCGGGCGGCUGCUGUGAUUCGGCUGCGUGAAACCCAUAUUCUGAGCGGACUAAGCAGACAGAGCCUACUCCGAGUUAUUGGUGUGCAAAGGGAAGAAAUCGUACCUUUCAUCCGCGUUCAGAGAGCAAUGAGGACUGGAACCGCCUGGGGUGAAAGGCCGGGUGGCUGUGGCAGACAGAGCCAGGCUCUGCAGAGCGUGACGCAUCAACAACCUUGUGCUCUGCUGACAGCCCAGUGAAGGCCCCUGAAGCCAGCUGGGCACUGGACUCUGCGGGCAUCCAGGUAAGAGGUGGCAGCUCUACGGAAGAUCCUUUAUUCUGUCUUAGGCCCCAGAUCUGCCAUGUGCUACCCUCCACUCUCAACAACAGCUCAUUCCCCUUCCUCAGCCAGAUGUUCCAUCAGGCUCGGAUUACCCAACAGAGAUGGGAGACUGGGGCUAGUCCUGCACAGCGUGCCUCCAGGGAAGCCCUGUGGCGAGAGACGAACCUGGCCCGACUUCCAUUCUGCUAGCUGGCGCCUGCCCUGUCGACCUCCAUGGUACAUGUGGGUCUCUGUCCUCAGCACUCCUCCUGCACACGUGCCCGAGUGCUAAGGCUUUCACUUCGCAGCGUAUUGCAAAUAUCUUUCAUUGAAAACAAACACUCAUCUUCAACGGAAUAAGUAACCUUCAGUUUAGUGUUCCAAUAUGUGGCGACAGCUCUUUUAGCCAGUCACUCUCAGCCGGCCAGUGUUCGACCUCUUCCCUGCAGCUUUGUCCCCGCUUAGCGUCUGUGAUGGUGAGUUUUCCCGGACCUCUCCCUGCCUCUCUGUUGCCUCUGUCUCCUCAGAACACACCUUCGCCUGCUCCCUCUGUCUGCCAGUGUGUUCUCCAAUGCCUUGCUUCCUUCUUUCCCGUGUUCUCACUCUCUCAGGGGCCCCAGGCGUGUGUGGGUUGUGCCUGCAGCUUCCUGGGAGUACCUAGGAUGUCCUAUCCUCCUCUCGUCCUCAACUCCUCCGCCACUGAGCUCCCGUGCCCAUUAUGAAGCCAGGAUUUCCAUCAGAGCCUUCCUUUUCUUCCUGCCUUCCGGGCGGGCCAUCCAGAAAUUUCACAUGCAGAUCAAUGAGAGACAGAAAGCCCCCAGUACAUGUGUGCUGAAUAAAUGAAUAAAUGCAGCCGCAGCCGAGAAGGACCUGUGCCUCGUGCACACGUUAGAUCUGUUCUUGCAGCGACUGCACUUGCUGUCCUCUGAAGCCUUGCGCCUCUGUUUUGAGCCUGCGCCCGCCAUCACCAUUCCAGUUACCAGAUCUGUUGUGUAGCCAGGGGUCUUGGUUCCCAGCAGCAGAAAUCACUCUGCUCAGCUUAAGCAGAGAACAAAGAGCGUGGAGCCGGGAAGACGUGGGAACCAAGGGUGCCAGGGUUAGAUUCCAGACAGACACGGAAGGUCCAGAUGCAGGCACAGCGUUCAUUCCCAUGGCCGUGCCACACGCAUUGCGCACCCCUGCUCCCUCCUGCCCGCUCACUGGCGGGUACGAGCUGCAGCCAGCGCUGCCUGCUGCUGAGGUCUUCCCUCAUCACUCUUGCCUGCGUCUCUUUCUUUUCUAUUUCCCAUUGCACCUUGUUUGUUUCUUCACAGAAGAAGCCCAUUUCUUAAGACAGGUCUUAUGCUUUUUAGACUCCCCCCCCUCCCACCAAGCUGGGCAGAUGCUCCUGCUGCGUCGCUCUCCAAGGUCUUCAUUGACCGAAGGCACAGGGGGGUGUGGCUGUAGACCCGUCCCUAGGUGAGGUCACGUGGCUAAUGACCCACCAGUGUUCAUCUUUCCUUCCUCCACGGCAGCAGAAAUGGAGCUGGGGCCGGGGGCCUCCCUUGUAGCUGGUUGUGACAUGUAGCUGUUUUCCUGAGGGCGAUGUCACUAGAAGCCUGUCUGAGUUUCCAGGGCUUCUGCAGCAAAGCCGCACCACCUGCAGCCUUAAACAACAGAAACGUCUGUUCUCCCCGCUCUGGAGGCUGGAAGCCUGAGACCACGGUGUCUACAGGGCUGGUUCCACUCCUCUCCUUCCUUACAGACAGCGCUUUCCCUGUGUCCUCACAGGGUCGCCCCGCUCUGUAUCUAUGUCCUAAUCUCCUCUCCUCGUGAGGACAUCACUCGCAGGGUCAGAGAUUAAUCAGUCGUACUGGCUUAGGGUUCACUCCUAUGACCUCAUUUAACUUAAUCGCCUCUUGAAAGCCCCCAUCUGCAAAUACAGUCCCAUUCUGAGGUCCUGGGGUGAGGAUUCAAUGUGUGAAUCUUGGGGGGGGCAAAGCACUAACAAAGCACUCUGCGUGAUUUCGUAUUGCUGGCCUGAGAGUUCUCCUGCCUGGAUUCCAGCUGCAGCCCUUCCUCCUGGCUGGAAGGGCAUCCACUGGGGUGGCCUCAGAAGCCACGGGGUCAAGACGGCAGAGGCUGUGUCCACUGAGCUCUGUCCACUACCCCCCAGCGGGGAUGCUCACCUCUGCCCGUCACUCGAGUGGGAAGUAUCUUCUUUGUUCCUUGAGCUGUGCUUUCGUAAAGGGGUCUCUUGUUAGAGGGGCUCCUCCUAGCCUAAUGAAAACACCAGGUGCAAAUCGAAUAGGGACGUGUUCACAGGAGGAGUGCAGCUCAGGGUAACUGAAUUCAUUACCUGCUAUUCUCUGAGUACGCUGGGCAAGGUAGAUGACAUUGUAAUGGCAAUGAUGCCCCCAAGCCAUCUGGGUCUCCAAUGAAUCCUGGAAAUAAAUUGAACUGGCGGGAGAACAUCAGAUGGAAGGAAGCUCCUGACAGGAGCAAUCACGGGUCUAUCGAAGCUUCCUGGAAAUGUGCUGAGUGUGAAGUUUUGUUUGCUCUUUUUCCCAUUCUCUUUUAAAAUAUGAUGUUAAAAUAUUUCGAUACAUAAAAAUAUAUGUAACAUGUAAGUUCCAAAACACGCUUAUUUAACAAACCCCCGGGAACCAACUUCUCAACUGAGGACUGAAAUGUAGCCAGUAGCUUGCGGGUACCUAGGAGUCCAUCCCUGUACCCCACCAGACGUGAUCAGGAUGACCGUGGCAGCACGAUUGUGUCCGCUGUGUGUCUGGACUAGUGAGUGUUUGCUGCUCCUGAAAGACCAUCAAUGUAACAAAGUUAACUUACAGCAAGAGGAACCUGAGGUGAGCGGUGUGGCUACUGGAAACACCGAGAGAAGACUUUGAUGAGGGCUGUGGAAUGGCAGGGAUGCACAGGGGCUUUAGAAUAAGAAGUUUGUGUGUUUUUAUUUAUACGCUUUCGGCUUCUAGAAAAGCGUGUUCAUCGUGCCUACCGUGCUUCUCCAGUGCGCUUCCGUUACUGCUGUGCAGAGCUGCUGACACGUCUUUCUUUUCUUUUUGCUGCUGCUUUCAAGAUGAGAGGUUUUUGCCUCCACUUUACGGCUCAAUUAAUGACGACAAUUAGAAAUUUUAGCGAUGCAAAGGAAAUGAGUAACUCUAUUGCCAUCUUUGAAAUUUCAUGUUAACUCUUGGGAAAGUGGAAUUCUCCUGAGACUUAGCUUCCCUUCCCUGAUGGUGUGUUGACUCACAUUUGCAAAUGCUUCACGGUUUGUAACACCAUUUCAAAUCCAUCACCUUAACGAGCAGACGUUUUGCAAAUAAAGCAGUAAUCUCGAGAAAUUACAUGAUGGACCCUAACGUAGUGAGAGUCAGGGAUUGGAGCCAGCAUCAAACGCACUCACCUCCGUGGUGUUUCCCCCCGGUGUUGGCCCCCAGUUGGAGUGCUUGGCCAGCAGGAAGCAUUCUGAUGUUCUGGGGCAGAGUUACCAGGGUCUUGUUGCUGCUGAAGAAAUGACUAUAAAUCAACAGGAGUUACUCUCUCAGUCUGGAGGCUGGAAGUCGAAAUCAUACCCAGAGUAGAACUGGAGGUGUCAGCAGGGCCGUGCUCCCUUGGGGGCUCCAGGAGAGAAUCCAUUCCCCGUCUUUUCUGCUUCUGGGUGCUGCUGGCAUUGCUGGGCUUGUGGCUGCAUCGCUCCAGUGUUCAAGGCCUGGAUCUUCAGAUCUCUCUCUGCCCCAUCUUCACAUGGCCUUCUUCUCUGUGUGGAUCUGUAUCAAAUUGCCCUCUGCCUCCCUCUUAGAAAGACCCAAGUAAUUGCAUCUCAGGCCCACCCAGAUAACCCCCCACCUGAAGAUCCCUACUUUAAUCAUAGUCUGCGAAGCCCCUAUUUACCACAUAAGGCAAUGCUCACAGGGUCCAGAGAUUAGGAUAUGGGUGUCUUUGGGGGAGAGGGAGAGCCACUACACAUAGCGAAUCAAUUUUUAAAAAAGCAAGUUACACAUUGUCAUCACAACAAUAGUCCUUAACAGCUAUUUUGAAAGUUGGGACUAUUUAAAAAGUUACUUUUCAUUUGGAAGUGAUAUUCGAAUACUUUAGAUUACCAAGGGCAAGAAGAUUGGAAAAAAUUAACUCUGGAUUCAGCUUUGAAAGCCUUGGGAGCCCGGGUUCGAUGAUACCAUCCUGCAGCUGCUCACCUGGCCGAGGGCCACACACCUUCCAGGUGCCAGAGAUGCCCGGGACACCCUGCUCCCUCCCGUCUAGUGGGCUCGCCUCCCAUCUAGAUACAUGCCUGGGGCGGCCUGAACUGGGGUCUGCUUGGCCUGAGCCCAUCAGCAGUGCCCACCCUGUCUCUGAGAAGGGAACUGGAGAGGCUUAGCGCAGGGUACCCAGUGAUCCUCCACGUGAUGCUGGCACCCAUCCUGUCCUCCCAGGGCAGAGGACGUUGGCCUGUGGGCUUUGCACCCAAGGCCUUGGAGAGGCAGGGAAUGGGAGGCGUGCUUAGGGAUCCCAUAGCGG